This 460-nucleotide ribosomal RNA is filed under the name uncultured bacterium. Its description in RNAcentral is "partial 16S ribosomal RNA". It matches the Rfam family "Bacterial small subunit ribosomal RNA", at positions 338 to 795 of the family's 1533-position model. The record is from RNAcentral.
CCUACGGGAGGCAGCAGUGAGGAAUAUUGGUCAAUGGCCGGAAGGCUGAACCAGCCAUGCCGCGUGAAGGUCAGUGCCCUAUGGGCGUUAAACUUCUUUUGUGCGGGAGCAAUAAUGGUCACGUGUGGCCAGACGAGAGUACCGUACGAAUACGCAUCGGCUAACUCCGUGCCAGCAGGCGCGGUAAUACGGGGGAUGCAAGCGUUAUCCGGAUUUAAUGGGUUUAAAGGGUGCGUAGGCUGUGAGGUAAGUCAGCGGGGGAAUGCCCCCGCUCAACGGGGUGAAGUGCCAUUGAUACUGCCUUGCUGGAAUGCGGAUGCCGUGGGAGGAAUGUGUGGUGUAGCGGUGAAAUGCAUAGAUAUCACACAGAACACCGAUUGCGAAGGCAUCUCACGAAUCCGCGAUUGACGCUGAUGCACGAAAGCGUGGGUAUCAAACAGGAUUAGAUACCCUAGUAGUC